UUUGAUUCAGUUGUGUUUUGAUCUACCCGUUCCCUCUGCAGAUUAUCUUCUUUGUCCCCGACCGAGUCCUUCCAUUGAUUUAUUUUCAUGGAAUCCCCUUUGUGUCUCCAGCAGUUUUCAAGACAUAUCCUAGCCUACGCAUAACUUUUUUCCCCAGAGUCUCUGUUUCCCCAGUGAGUUUUCCUUAUGGAAUGCAAUAUGCUCCUGUGGACUUUCAGUCUCUCCGGAUUCUUUUCCUUCGUGGCAAUAUUUU
This 253-nucleotide long non-coding RNA is filed under the name Lathyrus oleraceus (garden pea). RNAcentral's name for it is "Pisum sativum (pea) long non-coding RNA (PSAT_LNC030081)". Lineage: Eukaryota; Viridiplantae; Streptophyta; Magnoliopsida; Fabales; Fabaceae. The record is from RNAcentral.